This 191-nucleotide ribosomal RNA is filed under the name uncultured bacterium. RNAcentral's name for it is "partial 16S ribosomal RNA". It matches the Rfam family "Bacterial small subunit ribosomal RNA", at positions 1312 to 1500 of the family's 1533-position model. The record is from RNAcentral.
UCGCCUGCAUGAAGUCGGAAUUGCUAGUAAUCGCAGAUCAGCAUGCUGCGGUGAAUACGUUCCCGGGCCUUGUACACACCGCCCGUCACACCAUGGGAGUCGGUAACACCCGAAGUCAGGAGCCUGACCUUUUUAGGAGGGCACUGCCGAAGGUGGGAUUGAUGACUGGGGUGAAGUCGUAACAAGGUAGC